AAAAGUUUUUCUGUUAUAAGAAAAUUAAGAGGGAAAUCGGUUAAAUUCCGAUGCGUUACCCGACACUGUAGUCAGUAGUAGCAAAUACAACAAGCCAUUCAUUUUAUGGAGAAGGCGUAUUUGUAAGCUGAGAGCCAGGACACCUGCUUUUGUUUUUAG
This 159-nucleotide non-coding RNA is filed under the name uncultured Brevinema sp. The record is from RNAcentral. Lineage: Bacteria; Pseudomonadati; Spirochaetota; Spirochaetia; Brevinematales; Brevinemataceae.